UACGUAGGGUGCAAGCGUUAAUCGGAAUUACUGGGCGUAAAGCGUGCGCAGGCGGUUGUGCAAGACCGAUGUGAAAUCCCCGGGCUUAACCUGGGAAUGGCAUUGGUGACUGCACGGCUAGCGUGUGUCAGAGGGGGGUAGAAUUCCACGUGUAGCAGUGAAAUGCGUAGAGAUGUGGAGGAAUACCGAUGGCGAAGGCAGCCCCCUGGGAUAACACUGACGCUCAUGCACGAAAGCGUGGGGAGCAAACAGG
Molecule: ribosomal RNA, 253 nt
Filed under: uncultured bacterium
Lineage: Bacteria
Description: partial 16S ribosomal RNA
Rfam family: Bacterial small subunit ribosomal RNA
Source: RNAcentral